UAUAACGACUCUCGGCAACCGAAAUCUCGGCUCUUGCUUCGAUGAARAACGCAGCRAAAUAAGAUACUUGGUGUGAAUUUCAGAAAUCCGUGAAACCUCGAGUCUUUGAACGCAAGUUGCGCCCGAAGCCAUCCGGUCGAGGGCACGUCUGCCUGGGCGUCACACACC
Molecule: ribosomal RNA, 168 nt
Filed under: Maclura amboinensis
Lineage: Eukaryota; Viridiplantae; Streptophyta; Magnoliopsida; Rosales; Moraceae
Description: 5.8S ribosomal RNA
Rfam family: 5.8S ribosomal RNA
About the family: 5.8S ribosomal RNA (5.8S rRNA) is a component of the large subunit of the eukaryotic ribosome. It is transcribed by RNA polymerase I as part of the 45S precursor that also contains 18S and 28S rRNA.
Source: RNAcentral